Molecule: non-coding RNA, 33 nt
Submitted as: unclassified sequences
Source: Rfam
CUAUGUUGAGAAUAUUUAACAUGGCGGAAGGAG